CUAUGAAGAAUAACAAACUCACCUGCCACAAAAUUAUUCAGACAAUCUACUAAAGAAAAGAUAAAAAAAGAAGAAUUAUCUCCCUUUGUACUAAAAUAUGGUGUACCGUAGUAUUCUUACAUUAGAUACUGGACUAUAACUCUGGACUAAAUCAUUAGACCGGAACAAAAUUCGAAUUUAAUCUAUUUCUUGUCACGUUGAAACUAUUUAUCUACUACAAAAUCAAUAUCUUCAAGAACGAAGAAAAACGUGUGGAAAACUGAUUUGCAGAUAGACAGACGGACGUAAUGCACACGUAAAGUCCCCUUCGACUUCAUCGGUAGGGGACUAAAAAAUAAAGUAAAACAUGCAUUUAGAGCAAUAUUAACUAUCUUGAGUUAUUGCAUGAUUUCCCCACAUUGUUUUCAAAUUGGAGAUCUUGUCAUGCUGAUAAAAAAUAUUCUGUAGUAAAAGUUCUAUUACAAUUUUUAAGAUGAGGAAGAUCAAUUUAAUCGAGGUCUGGAUCUGGCAUGUCAGUAACUGCUAGCUAAUUAUCAAGUAUCACUGUCACUUUACCUUUUGGUACCUAUCCUG
Molecule: long non-coding RNA, 573 nt
Filed under: Mytilus galloprovincialis (Mediterranean mussel)
Lineage: Eukaryota; Metazoa; Mollusca; Bivalvia; Mytilida; Mytilidae
Source: RNAcentral